CACGUAGUUAGCCGGUGCUUUUUCUGCAGGUACCGUCACUUUCGCUUCUUCCCUGCUAAAAGAGGUUUACAACCCGAAGGCCGUCAUCCCUCACGCGGCGUUGCUGCAUCAGGCUUGCGCCCAUUGUGCAAUAUUCCCCACUGCUGCCUCCCGUAGGAGUCUGGGCCGUGUCUCAGUCCCAGUGUGGCCGGUCACCCUCUCAGGCCGGCUACCCGUCGACGCCUUGGUGAGCCAUUACCUCACCAACAAGCUGAUAGGCCGCGAGCCCAUCCCCAACCAAUAAAUCUUUCCAACCACUGAAGAUGCCUUCAUGGUUCGUAUCCAGUAUUAGACGCCGUUUCCAGCGCUUAUCCCAGAGUCAGGGGCAGGUUGCUCACGUGUUACUCACCCGUUCGCCACUAAUCCCCAAGUGCAAGCACCUGGUUCAUCGUUCGACUUGCAUGUGUUAAGCACGCCGCCAGCGUUCAUCCUGAGCCAGGAUCAAACUCU
Molecule: ribosomal RNA, 489 nt
Filed under: uncultured Microbacterium sp.
Lineage: Bacteria; Bacillati; Actinomycetota; Actinomycetes; Micrococcales; Microbacteriaceae
Description: partial 16S ribosomal RNA
Source: RNAcentral